UGGGGAAUAUUGGACAAUGGGGGCAACCCUGAUCCAGCCAUGCCGCGUGAGUGAUGAAGGCCUUCGGGCUGUAAAGCUCUUUUGGGCGGGGACGAUGAUGACGGUACCCGCAGAAUAAGCCCCGGCUAACUUCGUGCCAGCAGCCGCGGUAAGACGAAGGGGGCUAGCGUUGUUCGGAAUUACUGGGCGUAAAGCGAGUGUAGGCGGUUGCCGUAGUCAGGUGUGAAAGCCUUGAGCUCAACUCAAGAAAGUGCACUUGAUACUGGGUGACUAGAGGACCGGAGAGGAUAGUGGAAUUCCCAGUGUAGUGGUGAAAUACGUAGAGAUUGGGAAGAACACCAGUGGCGAAGGCGGCUAUCUGGACGGUUACUGACGCUAAGACUCGAAAGCGUGGGGAGCAAACAGGAUUAGAUACCCUGGUAGUCCACGCCGUAAACGAUGGGUGCUAGACGUUGGCGAGCUUGCUCGUCAGUGUCGCAGCUAACGCGUUAAGGCA
RNAcentral lists this ribosomal RNA (496 nucleotides) under uncultured bacterium. Its description in RNAcentral is "partial 16S ribosomal RNA". It matches the Rfam family "Bacterial small subunit ribosomal RNA", at positions 355 to 866 of the family's 1533-position model. The record is from RNAcentral.